This 253-nucleotide ribosomal RNA is filed under the name uncultured bacterium. RNAcentral's name for it is "partial 16S ribosomal RNA". It matches the Rfam family "Bacterial small subunit ribosomal RNA", at positions 524 to 776 of the family's 1533-position model. The record is from RNAcentral.
UACGGAGGGGGCUAGUGUUGUUCGGAAUUAUUGGGCGUAAAGGGCGCGUAGGCGGUCGGUUAAGUCAGCUGUGAAAGCCCGGGGCUCAACUCCGGAAUUGCCUUUAAGACUGCAUCGCUUGAAUCAUGGAGAGGUGAGUGGAAUUCCGAGUGUAGAGGUGAAAUUCGUAGAUAUUCGGAAGAACACCAGUGGCGAAGGCGACUCACUGGACAUGUAUUGACGCUGAGGUACGAAAGCGUGGGGAGCAAACAGG